CGCCUGUUUAUCAAAAACAUGGUUUUUUGGAAUAAUAAAAAAUCUGGUCUGCUCAAUGCUUAAGUAAAUAGCCGCAGUAUUAUGACUGUGCUAAGGUAGCAUAAUCAUUUGUCUUUUAAAUGGAGUCUAGAAUGAAAGAUUGGACGGAAAGAAGUCUGUCUCUUUAUUAAAAAAUGAAUUUUAUUAUUUAGUAAAAAGGCUAAUAUAGAUUUGAGGGACGAUAAGACCCUAUUAAACUUAAUUUAAUAAUUUUGCUGGGGUGGUAGGGUAAGAUUAAAAUCUUACUUUAAAAGUUUUAUUAUUUUGACCCAAUAUUAUUGAGGAAUAGAUAAAGUUACUAUAGGGAUAACAGCUUAAUUUUUUCUUGAAGUUCUUAUUUUAGAAAAAGUUUGAGACCUCGAUGUUGAAUUAAAGUGUCUUUUUAGUGUAGAAGCUAAAUAAGGAAGUCUGUUCGACUUUUAAACCUUUACGUGAUCUGAGUUCAGACCGG
Molecule: ribosomal RNA, 490 nt
Filed under: Vinathela tonkinensis
Lineage: Eukaryota; Metazoa; Arthropoda; Arachnida; Araneae; Liphistiidae
Description: partial 16S ribosomal RNA
Rfam family: Bacterial large subunit ribosomal RNA
Source: RNAcentral